CAGUAGCCACGGUAAAACGAAGGGUGCAAGCGUUACUCGGAAUUACUGGGCGUAAAGCGCACGCAGGCGGUUUCUUAAGUCUGAUGUGAAAGCCCCCGGCUCAACCGGGGAGGGUCAUUGGAAACUGGGAAACUUGAGUGCAGAAGAGGAGAGUGGAAUUCCACGUGUAGCGGUGAAAUGCGCAGAGAUGUGGAGGAACACCAGUGGCGAAGGCGACUCUCUGGUCUGUAACUGACGCUGAGGAGCGAAAGCGUGGGGAGCGAACAGGAUUAGAUACCCGAGUAGUCCCUGUCUCUUAUAC
RNAcentral lists this ribosomal RNA (301 nucleotides) under uncultured bacterium. RNAcentral describes it as "partial 16S ribosomal RNA". It matches the Rfam family "Bacterial small subunit ribosomal RNA", at positions 509 to 807 of the family's 1533-position model. The record is from RNAcentral.